Molecule: ribosomal RNA, 814 nt
Filed under: Zaphysema macmurrayi
Lineage: Eukaryota; Metazoa; Mollusca; Gastropoda; Stylommatophora; Sagdidae
Description: partial 16S ribosomal RNA
Source: RNAcentral
AAUAAGAUGAUCUAUUAAUAAAGUAUAUGUUAGUAUUGUAAUUAUAUAUGUUGCAAAAUGUAUAUAAAAUAUUUUUAUAGGGGUGAUAGGCUAUUCAAAUUUUAUGAUAUCUUGAUAAUUAUUAAAAGUAUUUAGUACUUAAUACAAUUAAUAAGUGAUAAGAUUUAUUAAAGUAAUAAAUUUUUAUUAUAUUUUUAAUAAUGACGAAUUAAUUUUUUACAUUUAAUUAUAAUAUUAUUAUUACUUAAAAAUUUUUUAUUUUAAUUUAAUAAUUAAUAGAAAAAUUAAUUAUUAUUUAUAUUUAUAAUGUUAAUAUUAGUAAUUGAAUCAUCAAGAUAAUUUUGUUUAAGGAACUCGGCAAGAUGUAUUUUGUUCAACUGUUUAUCAAAAACAUAGCUUAAUGGAUUUAAUAUUAGGUUGGUUCUGCUCAAUGAUUGAUUUAAAUAGCCGCAGUACUUUGACUGUGCGAAGGUAGCAUAAUAAGUUGGCUUAUAAUUGAAGUCUGGAAUGAAUGAAUUAAUGGGUAUAAACUGUCUUAAGUAAAUAUUAAUUAACUUUCUAAGUAAGUGAAAAUUCUUACAGUAUAUUAUAUUAGACGAGAAGACCCUUGAAAUUUUGACGAUAUAGUAUUUCAUUUAAUAUUAGUAGUUUUUAUUGGGGCAAUAGAUUUACAAUAUAACUAAAUUUAUUAAUAUAUUAAUAAUGUAACGAAUAUUUAUUAAUAAAAAUUAAAUUACUCAAGGGAUAACAGCGUAAUUUUCUAAUAAGUUUGUGACCUCGAUGUUGGAUUAGGAAAGUUUAAGUUUAGAAGAUU